This 1155-nucleotide ribosomal RNA is filed under the name Triticum aestivum (bread wheat). RNAcentral describes it as "partial small subunit ribosomal RNA". Lineage: Eukaryota; Viridiplantae; Streptophyta; Magnoliopsida; Poales; Poaceae. The record is from RNAcentral.
AUGGGUAAAAUGACUAGGUUGCCUUUUCCAAAAGCAAGUAGAUCAACAGAACAACUUGCCAUUGUUCACUCUGACAUUUGUGGGGAAUUUUCCACACCCACUUUGGGAGGGCAGAAAAUCUACUUUAUCACUUUCAUAGAUGACUAUUCAAGAUACAUUUAUGUGUAUUUGCUUAAACACAAAUCGGAAGGAUUUGAUACUUUUAAAGUGUUCAAAGCGGAAGUGGAAAAUCAGUUAAACAAGAAAAUUAAAAUACUUAGAACUGACCGUGCUGGUGAAUACACGUCAGGAAUGCUAGAUGAUUUCUGCAAAGAACACGACAUUAUUCAUCACUAUACCUUGCCAUAUACUCCACAACAGAAUGGAGUGGUGGAAAGAAGGAAUAGGACUUUAAUGGAUAUGGUUAGGUCUAUGAUGGCUUAUUCUGACUUGCCAUUGUCUUUUUGGGGAGAGGCACUUCACACUGUUGUAUAUUUAUUGAAUCACUCACCUUCUAAAGCUGUAACGGUAACACCCUAUGAGCUUUGGAAGGGAAGGAAGCCCUCACUUCGCCAUUUGGCAGUUUGGGGGUGUAAUGCUCAAAUAAGAAUACCUAGCCAGUUGCGCACCAAACUACAAUCUAAAAGUACCCCAAGAAUUUUUAUUGGUUAUGCAUCAGGUUCUAAUGGUUAUCGUUUUGGGGAUCCUCAAAGAAAGAAAUUGAUUGAAAGUGGAGAUGCAGUUUUUCUUGAUCAGGAUACUCCUCGCCGUGCUAAACGAGCUAGGUUGGAAUUAUUAGUAGAACCUGAAGAUAUCUCUUUACCUGAAACUGAACCUGUAGUUCAGGAAAAUAAUGAUGCUAGUCAAUCUACUAACUCUAUUUCGAAUAGCAUGCCUAGGAGAAGUGGGAGGAUUACACAACCACCUGCAUAUUUAGAUGAGUAUUUUGUUUUUCUGGGGGAAGUGCACUCUAAAAUUCAGAACUUAGAGGAAGAACCAAAAUCAUUCAAAGCUGCAUUGGCAAGUCCUAAAUUAAAUAUUUGGAUGGAAGCCAUGCAGGAAGAAUUAAAUUCUAUGAGGAAAAAUAAUGUUUGGGAAUUAGUUGAAUUACCAAACAAUCGAAAGUCUAUUUGUUCUAAAUGGAUUUUUAAAAGGAAAUUGAAUGCGACUGGUUAA